GAAAGAUUCAUCGGAAGAGGAUGGGCAUGCGGCGCAUUAGCUAGACGGCGGGGUAACGGCCCACCGUGGCGACGAUGCGUAGGGGUUCUGAGAGGAAGGUCCCCCACACUGGUACUGAGACACGGACCAGACUCCUACGGGAGGCAGCAGUGAGGAAUAUUGGUCAAUGGGAGAGAUCCUGAACCAGCCAAGCCGCGUGAGGGAAGACGGCCCUAUGGGUUGUAAACCUCUUUUGUCGGAGAACAAAACCCGGAACGUGUCCCGGACUGCGUGUAUCCGAAGAAAAAGCAUCGGCUAACUCCGUGCCAGCGGCCGCGGUAAUACGGAGGAUGCGAGCGUUAUCCGGAUUUAUUGGGUUUAAAGGGUGCGUAGGCGGUCCGUUAAGUCAGCGGUAAAAUUGCGGGGCUCAACCCCGUCGAGCCGUUGAAACUGGCAGACUUGAGUUGGCGAGAAGUACGCGGAAUGCGCGGUGUAGCGGUGAAAUGCAUAGAUAUCGCGCAGAACUCCGAUUGCGAAGGCAGCGUACCGGCGCCAGACUGACGCUGAGGCACGAAAGCGUGGGGAUCGAACAGGAUUAGAUACCCUGGUAGUCCACGCAGUAAACGAUGAAUGCUGGUUGUCCGGGUCGAAUGAGAUCUGG
RNAcentral lists this ribosomal RNA (640 nucleotides) under uncultured bacterium. RNAcentral's name for it is "bacterial SSU rRNA". It matches the Rfam family "Bacterial small subunit ribosomal RNA", at positions 202 to 842 of the family's 1533-position model. The record is from RNAcentral.